UGGGGAAUAUUGGACAAUGGGCGAAAGCCUGAUCCAGCCAUGCCGCGUGUGUGGAGAAGGUCUUCGGAUUGUAAAGCACUUUAAGUUGGGAGGAAGGGCAGUAAGCGAAUACCUUGCUGUUUUGACGUUACCGACAGAAUAAGCACCGGCUAACUCUGUGCCAGCAGCCGCGGUAAUACAGAGGGUGCAAGCGUUAAUCGGAAUUACUGGGCGUAAAGCGCGCGUAGGUGGUUCGUUAAGUUGAAUGUGAAAGCCCCGGGCUCAACCUGGGAACUGCAUCCAAAACUGGCGAGCUAGAGUAGGGCAGAGGGUGGUGGAAUUUCCUGUGUAGCGGUGAAAUGCGUAGAUAUAGGAAGGAACACCAGUGGCGAAGGCGACCACCUGGGCUCAUACUGACACUGAGGUGCGAAAGCGUGGGGAGCAAACAGG
Molecule: ribosomal RNA, 429 nt
Filed under: Pseudomonadota bacterium
Lineage: Bacteria; Pseudomonadati; Pseudomonadota
Description: Proteobacteria bacterium partial 16S ribosomal RNA
Rfam family: Bacterial small subunit ribosomal RNA
Source: RNAcentral